AAGACUAUAUUUUCAGGGAUCAUUUCUAUAGUUGGUGACUAGAGAAGUAUGUCUGAAAGUGAUUGGUCUCGCUAGCCAUGAGGAUGAGCUAUGGUGGUCUCCCCUGAGCAUGAAGCAGGUGGGUGGUGUUGUUGUUGUGCAGCACUACUUGUCAUUGAUGAGUGCUCCAUCCCUUUAAGGGCUGGAGGGGAAGAACACGGUCUGAGUGGU
This 210-nucleotide small nucleolar RNA is filed under the name Alligator mississippiensis (American alligator). RNAcentral describes it as "Small nucleolar RNA U3". It matches the Rfam family "Small nucleolar RNA U3". From Rfam's summary of the family: Small nucleolar RNAs (snoRNAs) are involved in the processing and modification of rRNA in the nucleolus. There are two main classes of snoRNAs: the box C/D class, and the box H/ACA class. Lineage: Eukaryota; Metazoa; Chordata; Crocodylia; Alligatoridae. The record is from Rfam by way of RNAcentral.